GAUGAACGCUAGCUACAGGCUUAACACAUGCAAGUCGAGGGGAAACGACAUCGAAAGCUUGCUUUUGAUGGGCGUCGACCGGCGCACGGGUGAGUAACGCGUAUCCAACCUGCCCACCACUUGGGGAUAACCUUGCGAAAGUAAGACUAAUACCCAAUGAUAUCUCUAGAAGACAUCUGAAAGGGAUUAAAGAUUUAUCGGUGAUGGAUGGGGAUGCGCCUGAUUAGCUUGUUGGCGGGGUAACGGCGCACCAAGGCGACGAUCAGUAGGGGUUCUGAGCGGAAGGUCCCCCACAUUGGAACUGAGACACGGUCCAAACUCCUACGGGAGGCAGCAGUGAGGAAUAUUGGUCAAUGGACGAGAGUCUGAACCAGCCAAGUAGCGUGCAGGAUGACGGCCCUAUGGGUUGUAAACUGCUUUUAUAAGGGAAUAAAGUGAGUCUCGUGAGACUUUUUGCAUGUACCUUAUGAAUAAGGACCGGCUAAUUCCGUGCCAGCAGCCGCCGUAA
RNAcentral lists this ribosomal RNA (508 nucleotides) under uncultured bacterium. RNAcentral describes it as "partial 16S ribosomal RNA". It matches the Rfam family "Bacterial small subunit ribosomal RNA", at positions 28 to 523 of the family's 1533-position model. The record is from RNAcentral.